ACGUAGGGUGCGAGCGUUAAUCGGAAUUACUGGGCGUAAAGCGUGCGCAGGCGGGUAUAUAAGUCAGAUGUGAAAUCCCCGGGCUCAACCCGGGAACUGCAUUUGAAACUGUGUGACUUGAGUGUGGGAGAGGAGAGCGGAAUUCCUAGUGUAGCGGUGAAAUGCGUAGAUAUGAGGAGGAACACCGGUGGCGAAGGCAGCUUUCUGGGCCAAUACUGACGCUCAGGCGCGAAAGCGUGGGGAGCAAACAG
This 251-nucleotide ribosomal RNA is filed under the name uncultured prokaryote. RNAcentral's name for it is "partial 16S rRNA". It matches the Rfam family "Bacterial small subunit ribosomal RNA", at positions 525 to 775 of the family's 1533-position model. The record is from RNAcentral.